CAUAAUUUCUCCUGUAAGUCACUCUGAAUAAGAGUGUCUGCUAAAUGACUAAAA
This is a non-coding RNA of Salmo salar (Atlantic salmon), 54 nucleotides long. NCBI's taxonomy places the organism in Eukaryota, Metazoa, Chordata, Actinopteri, Salmoniformes, Salmonidae. The record is from Rfam.